UAAGGAAUAUUGGUCAAUGGAGGGAACUCUGAACCAGCCAUGCCGCGUGCAGGAUGACUGCCCUACGGGUUGUAAACUGCUUUUAUACGGGAACAAACCCUACUACGUGUAGUAGGCUGAGUGUACUGUAGGAAUAAGGAUCGGCUAACUCCGUGCCAGCAGCCGCGGUAAUACGGAGGAUCCGAGCGUUAUCCGGAUUUAUUGGGUUUAAAGGGUGCGUAGGCGGCUUCAUAAGUCAGUGGUGAAAUUCGGCAGCUCAACUGUCGGCGUGCCUUUGAUACUGUGGAGCUUGAAUUUGGUCGAAGGAGGCGGAAUGGGACAAGUAGCGGUGAAAUGCAUAGAUAUGUCCCGGAACCCCAAUUGCGAAGGCAGCUUCCUAGGUCAUUAUUGACGCUGAUGCACGAAAGCGUGGGGAUCGAACAGG
RNAcentral lists this ribosomal RNA (424 nucleotides) under uncultured bacterium. RNAcentral describes it as "bacterial SSU rRNA". It matches the Rfam family "Bacterial small subunit ribosomal RNA", at positions 355 to 776 of the family's 1533-position model. The record is from RNAcentral.